Molecule: ribosomal RNA, 230 nt
Filed under: uncultured bacterium
Lineage: Bacteria
Description: partial 16S ribosomal RNA
Rfam family: Bacterial small subunit ribosomal RNA
Source: RNAcentral
AAAGCGCGCGUAGGUGGUUUGUUAAGUUGGAUGUGAAAUCCCCGGGCUCAACCUGGGAACUGCAUCCAAAACUGGCAAGCUAGAGUAUGGUAGAGGGUGGUGGAAUUUCCUGUGUAGCAGUGAAAUGCGUAGAUAUGCGGAGGAACACCGAUGGCGAAGGCAAUCCCCUGGACCUGUACUGACGCUCAUGCACGAAAGCGUGGGGAGCAAACAGGAUUAGAUACCCCUGU